UAUGUAGUUUCCUUCUGUUGGGUAUCUCACGUAGCAUGAUAUGAAGCUUCUGAAUAAUUGGUUGCAGAGUUCUCGUAUGUGUCUUGGAGUUCCAAACUUCACAUUCAUUGAGCUUAAUUUUUAUAUAUCGCUUAUGUCUUUCCAGUCAUGCAGUCGCAGGUUCUCCAUUUCAUGAUUUUAAUAGUUGACGGGGUGAGAAAUUUCAUGGCAAGAGCCAUGUUUUAUCUCAGAUGUGUAAAGGGAAAUAUAUUUGUUGACCCAAAAAUCACACUACACUGUUGCAAUUUCUCUGUCGAAAAGUGCCUUGACGAAAGCAAAAUUGGCCUCCCGUGCUAUGAUGACGCGAAGAAUGGGACAAUUUGCUCGAUCAGUUUCAAAUUAGAAACAAGAAAUUUGAGAAAUUCAUUGGAUAAGUACUGAUAUGGUGCUUUUCUAAGAAAAUUAUAUGAUUAUUAAUGCAGGUCCAUGCUCUACUCUGAUGGCUGAGGUUGGAUACACUUGCUACAUGUUUAUUUAAUUUUAUUCUAUUGGAGGAUUCAAACUCUAGACUGAUGAAGUGGUGCAUUUUGAAUUUUCUUCUUAGAUAUUGUGAAUGGUCUACUGAAGGUAUCAAUAAUAAUACAUACUUUACAUAGUCAAGAUUCAUACUUUCCUUAUUACAUGUUGGUUUAUAUCCCCUACAUAUGUGAUGUGUGUUUAGCUUAUCGACUAUUCUUAAGUGAAUCUUAUGUGGUAUUGCAGGACUAACUUUUCUUUAGACAAUUUUGUAAUCUUUAGUUCAUUUUGGGUCAUUUCCAUUGCCUGUUAGUGUUUUUCGCUAGAGUGCUUUGCAGGCAGUUGUUUGAAAUAGAACCUUCCAGACAUCUUACUUCUCCAAUAGUACUUUCUUGUUGAGUUUGGUUGGACGUUCUCCAAAGUAAAUUUGGGAGAACAAUAAACCAUACUUUCUAUGUUUUGAAACUAGAGCUGGCCAUGAAUAAUUCUUUUCAAGUUGAUAGUCUAUCAGAGUUUGAAUUUGCUUUUGUAUAGCAAUAUGGAAGUAUAUUAUUUCAUCAUAUUUUCCUAAAGUAGCUUCUGAUUUGUUCACAUUUGUAGAACUACACAAUCUGCACAUUCCUUCUCUUCUCCUAAUCAAUUUCAUCUCAAAUUAGGCUUUAUCCCCUGAUUAGCAUUCUGAGCUACUUAAAUUUCUUCGCCCACAUGUUUGAUUUAGGUUUUUGUUUAGACAUGACAAAUGUUUGCAAGUUAUAGACGCCACGCCUGCCGCUGUCGGGGAGCUCCUGCCUGCGCUGCAAGCCUCAUGACCUUGCAAACUCGCUCGUGCUGCUUAUACGAUACGGCCUCUCCCUACUCAGGAUGGACUGCUUUGUGCAGAUUCACUCUUCUUUGCCUGAAGGCUCCUAUGUAUCCAGGACCCGCACAAGGAAAAUUCUGGGAUGAAGUAUGUACCAUUUUCUUCAAUAUUUCAUUUCCUUCAAUAUUUCAUCAAUGCAUGGGUAUAAACUGAACAUUGUAUAUUGUGACCUAUGUAGGAAAAAAAGCGAAAAUGCAAAUAGAUGAGAAAUCCCAACUUAUUCCUUUGGCCAUUUCUGUAACCAAAGCUAUUGGCUGGCCAACACAAAGGAGCUGAAAUUUCAUAGCGACAAAAAUAGGUAUUUAAUAUCUUUUUCAGAUAGUUCUCAUUUAUGGUAGUGGUUCUAGGUUUAUAUUCAGAAUUGUUCUUUUCUGUAAAAUUUUCUUGAAGAAAUAUGUGCGUACUGCUUCUAGAAUUAUAUUGUACCAUAUUUUACCACCACCUGCCUGAACUUUUUGUUCCGAAGGUUGACCUUAAUUUCCUGAUAUUGUCUACUCCGUAUAUUUCAUAAUAAUAACUGAUAAUCCCUCUCUAAAUUAUCCCAGCCAGAUUGCUAUGUAGACAACUCUUACUGAAUUGAUCUAUGUCAGCUCAUGCUCUCAAGCGGUCAAGAGGUCAUUGUGUGUUCAGUAUUCUCUACAGAUUAAUUAGUUUGUUCAUCCCAACAGUCUUAUCUACAUAUAUCUAACCACAUCAGGAGUUCUGACAUGUUUAUAGCUGAAUUAAUCUUUAUACAUAUGGCAGGUGCUAGAGGUACCGUGCAAGCAAGCAUGGCGACCGCGAUCAUGCUGCAGUGGCUGGGUAUAUCCCCUCCCGCUAGCUGAGGAUGGGCUCGAUGAUGGGGCUCCUACCCUUACACAGGUAUUAGCUUCUGCACUGUCUCUUUGUGUCUCUAUUACCUUGCCUCCCCACUUAUGCUUUGAAUUUGCUCUUUGCUUGGCAAGAUUAAUGUGAGGUGUUUAAUUUAUGUUCAUAAACUAAAAAAAUGAUGCCUGGUGAGAUUUUAGGUGUAUCCACCAAUAAUAGCUUUUGGAAUAAUGUUAAUACAGUUUGCUCUUUGCUGCCCAGUACUUGUGAAUAUAGAUUGGUUACUCCACUGCAUGUUACUCCGUGUGAGGUAUAUUCCCACAUUGAACUCGAUUAUUGCAAUGAUUGGGUUGAUUUGGACAUACUGUGCCUUGAAUGACUUUUCCCGUUGGGCAAUUCAAAUGAUGGAAGCCUCUUCGGACCCUUCCACCUCUCCGGCCUCACCACUGGAGACUCGGAUGCGAGAACCGCCGCCGCCGCCGCCGUGUCUGUCGGUGACGCUCACACAAGAAUCCAGAGGCAGUACCUUGGUCCUCUCCCUGAGAACAACAACUCUCUCAUGAUGCGGGACUGACGCCACCGUCCAUGCCAUGUUCUGGCUGAUCCCCAAGGCUCCUUGCCGAUGUCCAACCAGCGCCACACAGCCAAUGGUACUGCCGACAUGAGGACGCCCACCCCCGUGUUGAUCGAGCUUUUUGACCUGAGCCUCAUGGACAAGGUCAUACGGGCAUCUAAUUUUGAUUUGCUAUGUGCUCUCUUUUCACAAGUGUAGCUUUUUGUGUUAUAAAACUAUGCUACCGAUUGUUCUUUGUUGAUAUUUCCCUACUUGUGUCCUGAUUAAUGGAUCUGAGGUAGUUAGAAGUCACUGAAUAACUACUUAUACUAUUUUGUCAGCCAUCACUGGCUACAAUUGUUUAUAUGAUACUUGUACUAUUAUA
This is a non-coding RNA of Triticum urartu, 3099 nucleotides long. The record is from RefSeq and is a predicted model, not a curated record. Lineage: Eukaryota; Viridiplantae; Streptophyta; Magnoliopsida; Poales; Poaceae.